GCCGAAAUAGCUCAGAAGGGAGAGCGUUAGACUGAAGAUUUAAAGGUCCCUGCUUCGAUCCCGGGUUUCCGCA
RNAcentral lists this transfer RNA (73 nucleotides) under Danio rerio (zebrafish). It matches the Rfam family "tRNA". Rfam says of the family: Transfer RNA (tRNA) molecules are approximately 80 nucleotides in length. Their secondary structure includes four short double-helical elements and three loops (D, anti-codon, and T loops). The record is from Rfam by way of RNAcentral. Lineage: Eukaryota; Metazoa; Chordata; Actinopteri; Cypriniformes; Danionidae.